AUUGAACGCUGGCGGCAGGCCUAACACAUGCAAGUCGAACGAGUGGCGGAAGGGUGAGUAAUGUCUGGGAAACUGCCAUAUGGAGGGGGAUAACCACUAGAAACGGUAGCUAAUACCGCAUAACAUCAGAUGUCCCGAGAUGGGCUGAGCUUGGUGGUGGGGUAACGGCACACGAAGGCGACGAUCCCGAGCGUGUCUGAGAGGAUGACCAGCCACAUUGGAACUGAGACACGGUCCAGACUCCUACGGGAGGCAGCAGUGGGGAAUAUUGCACAAUGGGCGCAAGCCUGAUGCAGCCAUGCCGCGUGUAUGAAGAAGGCCUUCGGGUUGUAAAGUACUUUCAGCGGGGAGGCGUUACCCGCAGAAGAAGCACCGGCUAACUCCGUGCCAGCAGCCGCGGUAAUAC
RNAcentral lists this ribosomal RNA (406 nucleotides) under uncultured bacterium. Its description in RNAcentral is "partial 16S ribosomal RNA". It matches the Rfam family "Bacterial small subunit ribosomal RNA", at positions 30 to 526 of the family's 1533-position model. The record is from RNAcentral.